This 331-nucleotide unclassified non-coding RNA is filed under the name soil metagenome. RNAcentral describes it as "partial contains 5.8S ribosomal RNA, internal transcribed spacer 2, and large subunit ribosomal RNA". The stretch from base 1 to 120 matches the Rfam family "5.8S ribosomal RNA", at positions 35 to 154 of the family's 154-position model. The record is from RNAcentral.
GAUGAAGAACGUAGCGAAAUGCGAUAAGUAGUGUGAAUUGUAGAAUUCAGUGAAUCAUCGAAUCUUUGAACGCACAUUGCGCCCUUUGGCAUUCCUUAGGGCAUGCCUGUUCGAGCGUCAUUCUCACCCAUCAAGCUAGGCUUGGUGUUGGGCGUCUGUCCGGCUCUGUCUGGACUCGCCUUGAAGCAAUUGGCGGCCUUCUCGGCGGCUUAGAGCGCAGCACAGUGCGUCUCUUCGCCUCCCCGGGGGGUGACCAGCAAGCAACUUUUACGAUUGACCUCGGAUCAGGUAGGGAUACCCGCUGAACUUAAGCAUAUCAAUAAGCGGAGGA